Molecule: ribosomal RNA, 253 nt
Filed under: uncultured bacterium
Lineage: Bacteria
Description: partial 16S ribosomal RNA
Rfam family: Bacterial small subunit ribosomal RNA
Source: RNAcentral
UACGUAGGGUGCAAGCGUUGUCCGGAAUUAUUGGGCGUAAAGAGCUCGUAGGCGGUUUGUCGCGUCUGCUGUGAAAACUCGGGGCUUAACCCCGGGCCUGCAGUGGGUACGGGCAGACUAGAGUGCGGUAGGGGAGACUGGAAUUCCUGGUGUAGCGGUGAAAUGCGCAGAUAUCAGGAAGAACACCCGUGGCGAAGGCGGCUCUCUGGUACGUGACUGACGCUGAGACGCGAAAGCGUGGGGAGCGAACAGG